Molecule: ribosomal RNA, 253 nt
Filed under: uncultured bacterium
Lineage: Bacteria
Description: partial 16S ribosomal RNA
Rfam family: Bacterial small subunit ribosomal RNA
Source: RNAcentral
UACAGAGGGUGCAAGCGUUAAUCGGAAUUACUGGGCGUAAAGCGUGUGUAGGUGGUUGGAUAAGUUAGAUGUGAAAUCCCCGGGCUUAACCUGGGAACUGCGUUUAAGACUGUUUAACUAGAGUACUGUAGAGGAUAGUGGAAUUUCCAGUGUAGCGGUGAAAUGCGUAGAUAUUGGAAGGAACACCAGUGGCGAAGGCGACUAUCUGGAUAGAUACUGACACUGAGACACGAAAGCGUGGGGAGCAAACAGG